GUCAAGUCGAGACUAAUGAUAGAGGGAUUGUAUCACACGAUAACUGCACCUAGGGGUUCAUCUUUUUGUUCUGCUGAGUUGUCACUACAUGUUGCUAGAUGUCACUAAUAGAUUGUGAGAUCACACUAAGAUCAUUUUUGGAUCAAUGAUCUUUGUUGAGGUGAGUUGGAAUCAUUUCAACCCAUCAAAAAGAGUUUCGAUGAUACUGUGACGGA
Molecule: long non-coding RNA, 215 nt
Filed under: Elaeis guineensis (African oil palm)
Lineage: Eukaryota; Viridiplantae; Streptophyta; Magnoliopsida; Arecales; Arecaceae
Description: long non-coding RNA (EGUI_LNC017376)
Source: RNAcentral